UUCAAUAUAGUCGUGUUAUAUAAACGCUGAUCAUCUGUUGUGUGGGUCUCCCCACUGUUGGCUUAAAUGGGCUAACAUCCUGCUCUGUGGCGGGAGGCCGUAUUGAGCCGGGACAUGUUUGAAAUGGCGUGAGGCUGGUUGGGCCGAGUCACAAUCAAGACCCGUGGGCUCUGCAUCUAUACACUUUAAGGCUUCAUUUGGAAUUGUGGAAAGAUUGUGUUUCAUGCGAUGAGAAAGUACGUUGGAAAAAUACUUUGUUUAUUUCAGUACGUAAUAUUGCGUUCCGCAUAUCGCGAUGAGUAGGUUACGAUAUAUUUUCUACGGUCCCACAGGAAAACGCAGAAGUAUAUACCAAUAUGCUUUUUCUUCAACUCCAUUUUAUUUAAUAGCGUUAGAUAGAACUCAAUACCAAACUAACCCUAAGUGAAUUAGUUGCAUAUUUCUAAUAGUCCGAGCUUUUAGAAUUAAUGGUUAGAGCCAACGAUCCGACAAGUGAUAUCAGAGCCAGAGAUCACGGGUUCGAUUUUCGCAUGCUGUAAAUAUGUGCAGCUACUGGAGGGAGGAUUGUUGACUUAAAUGGGCCAGCAUCCUGCCCAAUGGUGGGAGGUUAUGUUGGGCCGAGUUAUGUUUGAAAUGGCAUGAGGCUCGGUGGGCCAAGUCAAGUUCGAAAUGGCAUGAGGCUGGUUGGGCCGAGUGAUAAUCGAGACCCGUGAGCGCUGUAUCUGUACGCUUUAAGUGAAUUGGUUGCGUAUUUCUAAUAGCUCGAGCUUUUGGGAUUAAUGGUUAGCGCCAACAAUCCGACACCCACAUCCAACGGAGCUGAAUUGGAAUUUCUUUUUAUUCAAUAAUAACUUAUUCGUUAUAAAAUUUUUUAUAUGAUAUUGGACAUGUAUUUCAUUUACGAGGUUAUUUAUCGUAUUUUAAAAAAAUGAUUUGAAUGUCGCAGAUAGUAUUCUG
RNAcentral lists this long non-coding RNA (957 nucleotides) under Ananas comosus (pineapple). RNAcentral describes it as "long non-coding RNA (ACOM_LNC023651)". Lineage: Eukaryota; Viridiplantae; Streptophyta; Magnoliopsida; Poales; Bromeliaceae. The record is from RNAcentral.